Molecule: long non-coding RNA, 7941 nt
Organism: Amaranthus tricolor (Joseph's coat)
Lineage: Eukaryota; Viridiplantae; Streptophyta; Magnoliopsida; Caryophyllales; Amaranthaceae
Exons: 3
Source: RefSeq, a predicted model, not a curated record
AAAAAAAAAAAAAAGAGAAAAAGAGAAAGUAUAAAAACUGUGAAACCCUAAACGCACAAGACUAAGCCGUCCUCUUCCUCUUCUCCUUCUCUUCUCACUUUCCCAUUUUCCUUCCCUCACUCACUAGCAGCCACGGUGAGCCUCCCCACGAGCAGCCACUGCACCUCCAGCCACUCCGCUCCCCACGUGCAAAACCGCUAGCAACAACCGAGCUUCACACCGCCAACAGCAGCCACAGGCUGCGUUUGAAUCCACGGCAGCAGCUAGCAGCAGCCGGCUGCUCUUCCUCCGCAACUCUUCGCGCCUUCACAGCCGCUCCAGCUGUCGGUUUAUGUCCUCCCUCCACCGUCAACAGAGCUCCUGCGCCACCACCACAACCUCCACUUACCCCUUCACCCCUUUUUGCUAGUCCUAGCUUUGUGCCCAUUUCGUAAGAGGAAAGUAGAACCUUAGUUGGGAUGAUUUUGUGACUUUUGAUCGUGCAGUGACGCAUACAGGUACGUACACGCAGUAACUAACCUCUAUGUGCAAUUUGCUUUAAGAUAUUAUUGUUUAUUGUGAUAAUAUACAUUGCAUUGAAACUAUGAGAUACUGGUAAGUACACGCAGUAACUGAUUCUUGCAUGCAUCUCCAAUAUAUUUUCCUUGCGUGAUAAUAUUAUACGAGCUAGGUUGAAUAUGAUUUGCUAUUUAAAUACUGUUAAGUUGUGUUACAAGUGAAAAUCAGUUGUAAAGAUGGUAGAGAUUGAGUUCGGAUAUCGCAAGAGUAGAAUGUUGGAUUAUAUGAGAUGGAAUGGGAAUGAGUCCCUUAUUGAUGAGAUAUUAAGUUGGAUGUUACAUUAUAUGAGAUGGAAUGGGAAUGAGUCCCUUAUUGAUGAGAUAUUAAGUUGGAUGUUACUGUGACUCCACUGGAUUGGUACCCCAGUUGGUUUAGUUCCCGGAGGCAUGGAUCAUCUAUAUAUGGUCGCUGUACGGGGGUAUGAUCAUACUUUGCCAUUGGGCGCCGGCAUGGCCGUCACCGUCCUUGGCUGAGGUGUUGCCAUGUGGGUCUUGCAAACCCCAAUAUGGUGGCCUCUAGUCACAAAAGAAGAUACGUGGAAUUAAGGAAGAAAUAGAAAAUGGUGAAGGCAUUGAGAAGUGCACAGAAGUGAGGAAUGGUUGGAGUAGAUUUUUAUACAUUGGAGUGUCUUUCUUCCCUCGUUUGUUGAAUUGAUUGUUGGUUGCAUAUAUAUAACUUGUUGCUAGAUACUGACGUGUACGUGUUUGUGUUUAUGUUGAUUGUUGAUGACUUUCUAUGAUUGUCCUGCUAUGACGCAUUGGCCUUUGGUCUAAUGUCGAGCAGCAGGAGGAUUAUAGACUGGCUUAGCAGGUACUGAAGCUUCUUAUGCAUUGCAUUGCAUUUCGGGAAAGUGAUGAGGGCGAAGCAUAACUUGUGUCAUUACCCCUAUCUUUCGAUUUUGUAUCUCUGUUACCUUUUGUAAAUUUUGAUUGUAUAUGUUUUGUUAUGAGGCCUUGUGCCCUCCCACGUGCAUUUGUAUUUCCGCUGCGUAGUUUAUAAUUCUGUAUGGUUUUGAGGAGUUAAGUCUUUUUAAAACGCAAACGUCGACACUGGAACCACGAUCCAUGCUUGGCAUGUUGAUUUGAGAAGCCGGCGACGAAUUACUCCGCCGUGACAUAGCUUUGAUAGGCCGUUGGUGCCUCUACUUUAUUAGCUUCUUAAUUAACUUUGUUUUUCUACAAAGGCGCACAGUUUUAAGGCAGAUGCUGCCAAAAUUUUCACUCACUCACCUUUUUAAAGUUAAUAUUUAACGUUUAUAUUUUAUAUAAAUUCAAUUCUUUUUCUUUUAUGUAACACCCGAAUUUCCUCUUGUCCUUUACGGUUUUGGUUUCGUUAAGGGGUCGGAAAUUCAGGGGUGUUACAGGUGGUUACCAGAGCCAGUGGUUCCUAUUUUCGACGCUUUGUGUCCUUAAAAUCGUUUAGAAAUUGCCUGAAGUUAGAAGUCAUUCGUGAGAGUUUGGGUAGAUAUGGGAUAGGUGCAUACAUUACAUAUUCAUGCAUAAUGAUUACCAUUGCACGUGCAUAGAUCAAUAUAUAGUUUGUUUAGCUUGUUAUGAGACUUAUUCUUAUGUGUGUUAUUAUUAUAAAUAAAGAAAUUAUGAUGGUGGUUUGAAUGAUGACACGAGUUAACAAAUCAGUAGAUUUGAUUUAUGUAUUAUCAAGAAAUAAUGAAAUUUUUGAGUAUUUGGUUCAACUCAUGAGUUGUAUUAUAAGUAGUCAUUAUGGAGAUAUGAAGUAUAAAUGAUGAAAUUCUAGAGAAGUUGGUUGCAUUGAGAACUUUCUCUUGCUUGUGAUGAUCGUAUGAAAUUUAGCCUUAUGUGUUUGAGUAUUUGUUCAUGUUAAUUGUUUUCAUAAAGCUUACGAGUUUCGAUAUUGAUUCUAUACAUGAACCCACUGUUUAUGUAUCUGCUUGAGCAUUAUGCUUGUCAAAUGCAUUCGUUCAUCAAAACAUAGAAGUGGUGAUCAUAAUUCUCUUGAAUAUGUUUAAUGACUGUGCAAGCAUGAUGAUAAGUAGUUUAAACUAGAAUAAGGAAAAGAGCUAAAGUGUAAUAAGAAUUCGAUAUAUUGUAAAUGAAAGAAAGGGAUCUUGUAUGCGAUAUCAUGUAAAUAAAGUUUUAAUCACCAGUUGAUGAUAAUAAUGCGGUCAUAGCUAAAGUAUAGAUGCGUUAAAACCUACAUAUUAAUAUAAGCAGAAGUUCGAGAGCACGUUAAGAGUUUAUAGUUUGAGAAUUCAAUCCCCAAUUUCGAACCAUGAUCUAUAAGAGUAUUAUUGAUAUAUUCUUUAUAUAGUGCUGAGUUGAAGUUAAGAGAUUGUUUUCAACGCCGCUAAGUGUUUAAAGAUAAUGCUAUAUUAGCUGAACCAAAUUAUCACGUUAGUAUUGUUGUUCAUACUAGAAUUGCCUUAAUAUUUUCAUUUGAAGUUAUAAUUCUUACUAGGUUGAGGCUCUUGACCCGUGUAAUUAGCUAUAGCAACGUUGGUGUUGAGUUUUAGUGUGGCAUAAAUGUGUCUACCAAUAAACGUUUUUAGUCUCAUACAGUGAUUGAGACUGAUGCUUUAAAUUGGUUUAUGUAACAUAUAUUCGUUAGUUCUAAACCCAACAUAUUAUGCUUGUAGUGAGACCUUGAGAAUCAGUUGAGAGUGAAAACGAUAGUCAACCUAUCAGUCUUAGUAAACACUUUAUAUAUAUUUUGAUGAAUUAUAUACUAUAAAGGUCCUCUGUCAUUGAUUUUAAUUUUUGUAAGCAUUCAACUCUCAUCAUAAUGAAUAUAAUAUUUCAUGUUUGUCGAAGGCUAACAACCUUUAAAUCUCUAUUUAAAGGGAUUCCUUGGAUAAAAUAAGGGUGAUUUUUUUUUUUUGAAGACAUAUGAGUUUGAGUAUCAAAGGAAAAAAAUUAUUGUUCGCAAGUCCUUUGAGUUCUGUAUUUCGUUGAGACAUGAUAUAUCAUUCAUACAUAAGUCGAUAACUUCAUAUUAAAGUGGAUAGUUAAAGAAUAAUCAUCGUAAACAAAUUUUCAUGUUAAGGGCCUAAGGAUUGAUUCAAGGGAGCACUAUUGAGUUAAGACAUUUUGUCUUAUUAAAUGCUUAUAUAGAGUGAUGAAUAUUUUAAUCAGAUGAUAAUGUGAAGAAGAACCGUGACGGUUUUAAAGCGUUAACUGGAUAAAAUGAUAUUUGAAAUUAAAAAGGAAUCAGUGAUAUUAUAAUUUGUUUUCCUCAUGGCCUUCGGGGCUAUUACAAGACAUAAGAAUAAAAUAACCUGAUGAUGAGGUGGAAUAAGCGUCCUUGUGCACGUAAGAUAUAGUUAAAUGUUUGAAGUCUUUUAGAAUUUCUCAUUGAUCGCCAAUUUAAUAGCCAGUGUAUUGAAAUGAUAAGACCUAGAUGAGAUUCUAAAUGAAGCUGACUUUACGCAAGUUAUUGUUUAAUAAUGAUUGAUGUGAUAAGUUGGAGAGUUACUAAAGAUAAUGUGGUCCUAAUAAAAGUCAAGAGGUGUUUUAAACCUAAACAUUGAAGAAACGACAACGAAUAUGCGAAUAAUUAUAAUUUGAGAGAUGAAUCGAGAUAAUGGGUUAUGUCUUAAAACGAUUAUUAUACGCAAUCAUUAUUAUGCGAUAAAGAGAGUUAAAUAAUAUUCGCACUUGUGUUAAGAAGAGUUUUAAUUUGAUGGUACUAAAUCAUUGGAUCGUAAUAAACAUUUGAUGAAAAGAGUGUUGAAACUUUGACGUGUUUUAAUACAAACGAUUAUGUUAUAGUUGUUAGUUCUAAGUUUCGCGUUUUACGUUGAAGGGUGAUUGAAUUCCACUUGUUUGCGAAGGAAUAAUUGUAAUGCAAAAUUUCAAAUGUUGCGUUAAUUGGUUGGAUUGUGUCGUGGUACUUUAGUAUAGUGUUAGAAUUAUUAAUGUAGUAGUCAUAUGGUUGCGAUAACGGUCUUAUAGUUAGAGGUAGUAUUGUGAUGAAAAUGUUAUGAUGAAGGUUGGACAUCGUGAAAUUAGCGUUGGUAUCACAACCUUAUCAAAUUGUAUGAUACAUGACUGUUUUGCUAUUCAUAUUGGAAUUUGCGGUGAUGUAGGUGUGCUCAUCGGUUAUUUUUUUUCAUCUUGCAUUUUUUUAUGUAUACAUAAGAUGUCAUCUUUGUUGAGCAUCGCUACUAUUAUUACCCUGUUAGUACCAUUAGCACCGUCGUUAUAUACGUACAUGAUGCAUUACUUUAGUCAUAUAUAAGUUCAUGAUCUUAAUUGAUAUAAAUUCUAUACUUUCAACAUAUGUAUGGUAAGAGAAUAGCUGAAAAAUAUUGGUAACCUUUGGCAUUGCCCUUCAUGAUUCUAAGUCAUCCUCACAUUGUCAUAAUUAGAAUUUGAAAUUUUGAUGCAUAAUGGUUUUAUUAUUGAACAACUAUGAUAUGUGUAUUAGUAUCGUGGCUGUGAAUGUAUGAUUAUUAACUACAGUCUCUUGCUAAUAUGUGUCAUAUAUAAUUGGAUUAUAUACUUGAAACAUGUAUUAUGUUAUGAGUUAUUAAUUCGAAUUGUUAAUCUAUUAAUCAAGUCUUGAUGCAUGAUUUAGAAUGUUAUAAAAUGAUUUGACCAUAUAUGGUUAAUAAAAAGAGCAUUUCAUGUUAAGUUAAAAGGUUAAGAUUAUGUUAUGAUAAGUAAAGUUAGCGGUGAAUCGAUUUGGAAGUUGAUAACCAACCAGUUUAGUAAGAUUCAAGUAUCCUCAGGUCUAGGGUGUCUAAUUAUAAUACGAGUUAAGUGUUGAGCAACUUCGUGCACUUUACUUUUAGGACAUUGUUGUUUUGAUAUUUUACCCCCAUUCAUGGUUCAAAUUAUAAUAGUUAAACCUUUCGUACAUUUAAAGAUUAUCAAAAGUUACGACCUUAGGUGUUGUUUGAAUAAAUACAUUAGGUAACAGGACAUUUGUGUUGUUACGAGCUCAAGUAAUACACUUUUUAAAAGCCACAUUUGCUAGAUCUGUUACUUUUGUUAACAUUGAGGAGACUUGUCUUACUAAGAGAACACAUUGAGACCUAGAUACUAAGGUGUGUAGUACUGAGAUCAAAGAAAUUAAAUAAUUAAAGUUUCAUAGCCUAACCAAACUAUCCUUGCAUAUGUUUCGAGGUUAGUGAGUUACGGGGUCGUAACUAAGUUUUAAGGGGGGUAGAAUGCGGUAAAAUUUUGCGCAUUUACACGCAUUUUCUCCUGCAUUUUCACGUAUUUUUGUCUCUAUGAUAACAACCUAUUACAAACUUACAUGCUUUGCAUUGAUUGUUUGAACCUAUCUAUAUAAUAUCUACAUGUUUUGAUUGAUUGUGUGAAUCACUUGGUGUGAUAUUUGCAUACUUCUGAUUGACCGUGUUGAGUCAAUUGUAUGAUUUUUACAUGCUUUUGAUUGAUUGUGUUAAGUCAAUUGUGAGACAUUUACAUGUUUUGAUUGAGUGUUGAGUUAAUUUAGAUGAUUACGAAUGCUCGGAACGAAAUAUGUAUGAAUAAUUGGAUUGAGUGAGUAUAAUAGUGUCAAUAAGGUCACGAUCUUUGAGUUAAUUCCUUAGGCUUAAAAUCGUUAAGACGCCUCCUUGAAUUAUUAGAAAUAUAAAUUUUCACAAUUAGUACCUUGGUUGCGCUAGUUUCGGGGACGAAACUCCUUUUAAGGGGGGUAGUCUGUAACACCCCGAGAUUUUAAUAAUGAAAUUAUUAUUAUUUUAAUAGCUUUUAAAAAUUUAUCAGUUAUAUUAAAUUAUUUCUGAAUUAGUUUUAAUAAAUUUCUUGCAUAAUUUAAAUGUUAACUUAUAUAUAUUUAUCAAAAAUAUAGUUACAAUUUCUUAAAUAAAGAGGUUCGAAUCAAAAUGAUUAUUUUAUUAAAAGGUGUGAGGUCGCGAAAGUGAGUCUCUUAGUUGGGUCUCGUAAGAAAAUAAAUCGAGAUACAAAAAAAAAAAAAAAAAAAAAGCCUAAUAAUAAUAAUAAUUAAAAAAAAAAAAAAAAAAAAAAAAAAAAGAGAAAAAGAGAAAGUAUAAAAACUGUGAAACCCUAAACGCACAAGACUAAGCCGUCCUCUUCCUCUUCUCCUUCUCUUCUCACUUUCCCAUUUUCCUUCCCUCACUCACUAGCAGCCACGGUGAGCCUCCCCACGAGCAGCCACUGCACCUCCAGCCACUCCGCUCCCCACGUGCAAAACCGCCAGCAACAACCGAGCUUCACACCGCCAACAGCAGCCACAGGCUGCGUUUGAAUCCACGGCAGCAGCUAGCAGCAGCCGGCUGCUCUUCCUCCGCAACUCUUCGCGCCUUCACAGCCGCUCCAGCUGUCGGUUUAUGUCCUCCCUCCACCGUCAACAGAGCUCCUGCGCCACCACCACAACCUCCACUUACCCCUUCACCCCUUUUUGCUAGUCCUAGCUUUGUGCCCAUUUCGUAAGAGGAAAGUAGAACCUUAGUUGGGAUGAUUUUGUGACUUUUGAUCGUGCAGUGACGCAUACAGGUACGUACACGCAGUAACUAACCUCUAUGUGCAAUUUGCUUUAAGAUAUUAUUGUUUAUUGUGAUAAUAUACAUUGCAUUGAAACUAUGAGAUACUGGUAAGUACACGCAGUAACUGAUUCUUGCAUGCAUCUCCAAUAUAUUUUCCUUGCGUGAUAAUAUUAUACGAGCUAGGUUGAAUAUGAUUUGCUAUUUAAAUACUGUUAAGUUGUGUUACAAGUGAAAAUCAGUUGUAAAGAUGGUAGAGAUUGAGUUCGGAUAUCGCAAGAGUAGAAUGUUGGAUUAUAUGAGAUGGAAUGGGAAUGAGUCCCUUAUUGAUGAGAUAUUAAGUUGGAUGUUACAUUAUAUGAGAUGGAAUGGGAAUGAGUCCCUUAUUGAUGAGAUAUUAAGUUGGAUGUUACUGUGACUCCACUGGAUUGGUACCCCAGUUGGUUUAGUUCCCGGAGGCAUGGAUCAUCUAUAUAUGGUCGCUGUACGGGGGUAUGAUCAUACUUUGCCAUUGGGCGCCGGCAUGGCCGUCACCGUCCUUGGCUGAGGUGUUGCCAUGUGGGUCUUGCAAACCCCAAUAUGGUGGCCUCUAGUCACAAAAGAAGAUACGUGGAAUUAAGGAAGAAAUAGAAAAUGGUGAAGGCAUUGAGAAGUGCACAGAAGUGAGGAAUGGUUGGAGUAGAUUUUUAUACAUUGGAGUGUCUUUCUUCCCUCGUUUGUUGAAUUGAUUGUUGGUUGCAUAUAUAUAACUUGUUGCUAGAUACUGACGUGUACGUGUUUGUGUUUAUGUUGAUUGUUGAUGACUUUCUAUGAUUGUCCUGCUAUGACGCAUUGGCCUUUGGUCUAAUGUCGAGCAGCAGGAGGAUUAUAGACUGGCUUAGCAGGUACUGAAGCUUCUUAUGCAUUGCAUUGCAUUUCGGGAAAGUGAUGAGGGC